Molecule: long non-coding RNA, 346 nt
Filed under: Gallus gallus (chicken)
Lineage: Eukaryota; Metazoa; Chordata; Aves; Galliformes; Phasianidae
Description: long non-coding RNA NONGGAT003133
Source: RNAcentral
GGAAGGGGGAGCGGCUCGGGUUGGGCGCUCCCCGCGCGGGGCGGUUGGCAGCUCAGUGCCUGGCUGCAGCUGGGCCUGGGCUGCCUGCCUGCCUCAGGUGGGUGCCUGCGGCAUGGCGGCCCUGGGGAAGGAGGGGAUGGAGGCACUGAAAGUUCAUGCUUAGCCCACGUUGUUGUGAGGAGACUGAGCUAAUCUGUAAGGUUCCACUGAGACAAGAACCUCUCCAAUUCUGCAAAUUUGAUCCGAGGGACAUUAAUGUUUGCAGAAAAGCUACUAACUUCAGCACAUGUUGGAUCUGCUCUUUAGACUACGGCAAACAAGCACAUACUUACUUUUGCAAUGGUGA